GACGAACGCUGGCGGCGUGCUCAAUACAUGCCAGUCGAACGGAAAGGCCCUGCUUUUGUGGGGUGCUCGAGUGGCGACCGGGUUCGUAACACGUGAGUAACCUGCCCUUUACUUUGGGAUAACUUCAGGAAACUGGGGCUAAUACCGGAUAGGAGCUCCUGCUGCAUGGUGGGGGUUGGCAAGUGUCGGCGGUUGGGGAUGGACUCGCGGCUUAUCAGCUUGUUGGUGGGGUAGUGGCUUCCCAAGGCUUGGACGGGUAGCCGGCCUGAGAGGGUGACCGGUCACAUUGGGACUGAGAUACGGCCCAGACUGCUACGGGAGGGAGAGGUGGGGAAUAGGACACAGUGGGCGGAAGCCUGAUGCAGCAACGCCGCGUGCGGGAUGACGGCCUUCGGGUUGUAAACCGCGUUCGCCUGUGACGAAGCGGGAGGGACGGUAAUGUGUAAAGAAGCACCGGCUAACUACGUG
RNAcentral lists this ribosomal RNA (468 nucleotides) under uncultured bacterium. Its description in RNAcentral is "partial 16S ribosomal RNA". It matches the Rfam family "Bacterial small subunit ribosomal RNA", at positions 28 to 507 of the family's 1533-position model. The record is from RNAcentral.